GACCGCGCCCUCCGCUCGCCACUGCGAGGCCACCUGCUGCGCCGCCCGCCGCUUCCGGCUCCCAGGCCGCCCGGAGGCUGCGCCCACCGCUGCCCGCACUCCUCACCUGGCGGCGGCCCUCUCCGCCGGACGCGCUGCCGCCGCCGCCUCUCGCCGCCGCUGAGAGUGAGGACAGCCUAGGCCUACCCAUCUGUGGAUGGUAAUGCCCACAGUGGACUGGGCUCUACUGUAUCAAUUUGCAAUCAAGAAAAUGUCGCAUGGAUAUGCCUACAGGCCAGUCUGAUGGAGACAGUUCUUCAACUGAAGUUCCUUUUUCCAAGAACAGUUUUUUGAUGAAACAGAACACUGGCCUUCCCUCUUCAUUUUGGAGGACUGUUUCAUGCUUGUCUUUCAGGUGUUCUCAUCCCACUUUGAUAUCCUAUAUGGCAGGCUCUCUCCUAUGCUGCUUAACUUCCAAACUGAUAUUCUAGCUGAAUAUGACCAACACAUGUUCUUGGAGUCUUUGAAGGUCCUCCAAAGAUUCCAGAAGUAACUCCAGCCUGCCAUCUGCUAGGUUUAUCAAUCUGCAACUCCCUUUAAUCCUCAUUACUUUGAACCAGGUGACAAUGUUUGGAUUAAUAGACAUACACACAAGACUCUGGAACUCUGCUGGAAAGAACCUCAUACGAUGAUCCUGACCAUGUAAAUGGCUGUAUAGGUGGAUGGGAUCUGGACGUGGAUACACUACUCCCAUGUUAAGCCUGACAGAAGAGAGACAACACAGCAGUGGAGAUCUGGCAGGGAGAGACUUCCAGAUGUUCCACCAAGAGCAAUGGAAGCAUACCCACAUCUUGUUGAUCCAAUAGGGCUGCAACUUUGGCACUCCUGAUCAUGCAUGCCUGCUGCACCCUUCACCAACCCUUCAGUCUAACCUGGAUGCUUAUAGAUGUUGGAAGAGGUGAAAUACUUCACCAAGUCUCCAAACAAGUGCUAGAAAGGAUCUUGAGCUAUGGUUGGAUGAUUUCUCUGGGUUUGAGGUCUUGGAAUUGUACCAUUGGACCAAAAAUGGCCAAUUCUAUGUUUGCCCAGGCCACUGCUGCAUCAAGGCUCAGAGAGAUAAGUGUGGAGGGUCCUCUGAUUACUUUUGGGUUGUUUGGGGAUACGAAUUCAUCUGCUAUAUAUGGUGACUUGUGGUGCAUGCAUUAUUAAUACUUUAGUCAGGUUUGUUAAGGAACGGAUUUCCACUGAUGAUUGAGAAUCCAACUGGUGAUUCACAAGCAGCAAUACCAGCCCAUCUUAAGGUUUCAGGUUAGGCCAUUAUUCAAGGAGGGAAUGAGCGCCAAGCUGACUCCAUGAGAGGCUGCAAGAUGCCAGUUCAGGAGACUAGGCCUAAGUUUCUGUUUCCCAGAACUGAGCAGACCAGUUCUUGGAAAAACCACAGCCCAUGAACAGCCAAUCAGAAGCUGCCCUGCCAAGGUUAGUCAGCAAGGGUUCUUGUAAAGUCCCCAGGCCCCCAGUGAUGAGUUUGGAAAGCCCACAGAACUCUAGCCAAUCCCAGAGUUACCCAUACCCCUAGAGUUAGAGCCAACCAUUUGGGUCACCUACCUCUUCUUGGAAUUCCCCCUAAUAACCUUUAAAUUGAGCCUACAGAGCUCACCUUGAGGUUACCAUUUUUAUGAAUUGUAGACCCUUGCAUGCUGGAUUUCUGCAGAAUAAAUGCUCUUUCCUUUUGUAUACC
Molecule: long non-coding RNA, 1717 nt
Organism: Mus musculus (house mouse)
Lineage: Eukaryota; Metazoa; Chordata; Mammalia; Rodentia; Muridae
Product: RIKEN cDNA 2610206C17 gene
Exons: 5
Source: RefSeq, marked validated